AUUGAACGCUGGCGGCAGGCCUAACACAUGCAAGUCGAACGGUAACAGGAAACAGCUUGCUGUUUCGCUGACGAGUGGCGGACGGGUGAGUAAUGUCUGGGAAACUGCCUGAUGGAGGGGGAUAACUACUGGAAACGGUAGCUAAUACCGCAUAACGUCGCAAGACCAAAGAGGGGGACCUUCGGGCCUCUUGCCAUCGGAUGUGCCCAGAUGGGAUUAGCUAGUAGGUGGGGUAACGGCUCACCUAGGCGACGAUCCCUAGCUGGUCUGAGAGGAUGACCAGCCACACUGGAACUGAGACACGGUCCAGACUCCUACGGGAGGCAGCAGUGGGGAAUAUUGCACAAUGGGCGCAAGCCUGAUGCAGCCAUGCCGCGUGUACGAAGAAGGCCUUCGGGUUGUAAAGUACUUUCAGCGGGGAGGAAGGGAGUAAAGUUAAUACCUUUGCUCAUUGACGUUACCCGCAGAAGAAGCACCGGCUAACUCCGUG
This 490-nucleotide ribosomal RNA is filed under the name uncultured bacterium. Its description in RNAcentral is "partial 16S ribosomal RNA". It matches the Rfam family "Bacterial small subunit ribosomal RNA", at positions 30 to 507 of the family's 1533-position model. The record is from RNAcentral.